UACGUAGGGUGCGAGCGUUAAUCGGAAUUACUGGGCGUAAAGCGUGCGCAGGCGGUUCGCCAAGUCAGGUGUGAAAUCCCCGGGCUUAACCUGGGAAUUGCGCUUGAAACUAGCGGGCUUGAGUGUGGCAGAGGGGGGUGGAAUUCCACGUGUAGCAGUGAAAUGCAUAGAGAUGUGGAGGAACACCGAUGGCGAAGGCAGCCCCCUGGGUCAACACUGACGCUCAUGCACGAAAGCGUGGGGAGCAAACAGG
RNAcentral lists this ribosomal RNA (253 nucleotides) under uncultured bacterium. Its description in RNAcentral is "partial 16S ribosomal RNA". It matches the Rfam family "Bacterial small subunit ribosomal RNA", at positions 524 to 776 of the family's 1533-position model. The record is from RNAcentral.